ACGCUCGACACCUACGGGGGCAGCAGUCGGGAAUAUUGCGCAAUGGAGGAAACUCUGACGCAGUGACGCCGCGUAUAGGAAGAAGGUUUUCGGAUUGUAAACUAUUGUCGUUAGGGAAGAAAAAGGCAGUACCUAAGGAGGAAGCUCCGGCUAACUACGUGCCAACAGCCGCGGUAAUCUGAGCGGGCUGGCAAGGC
This 197-nucleotide ribosomal RNA is filed under the name uncultured bacterium. RNAcentral's name for it is "partial 16S ribosomal RNA". It matches the Rfam family "Bacterial small subunit ribosomal RNA", at positions 328 to 539 of the family's 1533-position model. The record is from RNAcentral.